UCUGUUUCUAUUAAUAGGCAACAAGUGCUC
RNAcentral lists this non-coding RNA (30 nucleotides) under Rattus norvegicus (Norway rat). The record is from RNAcentral. Lineage: Eukaryota; Metazoa; Chordata; Mammalia; Rodentia; Muridae.